CCUGUCCCUAGAGACAAUGCAUACAUGGCUGCUGUGUCACAUGUGUGUCAAUAGGUGGCAUAGAGGACACAGGCUUUGUCUAUCUUCAGUGUUCUGCCCUGUGAACACCUGAAUGUUUAGUACACUAAGACU
This is a small nucleolar RNA of Apodemus sylvaticus (European woodmouse), 132 nucleotides long. RefSeq annotates it as small nucleolar RNA SNORA17. Lineage: Eukaryota; Metazoa; Chordata; Mammalia; Rodentia; Muridae. The transcript has a single exon. The record is from RefSeq and is a predicted model, not a curated record.